Molecule: long non-coding RNA, 452 nt
Filed under: Elaeis guineensis (African oil palm)
Lineage: Eukaryota; Viridiplantae; Streptophyta; Magnoliopsida; Arecales; Arecaceae
Description: long non-coding RNA (EGUI_LNC055047)
Source: RNAcentral
GCUUACUAUGGAAGCUGGACAUAUUUAAAAUGUUUACCACAAUGGCUUGGUCUCUCUUUCGAUCACUUGGCUUAUUAUGGUAGUUUGGAUAGAUUAUUGUGGCAACUUGGGUGUUAUCCGCUAGUUUCGGUGCAUACAAGGCAAUAUGAAAUCUUCAGUGAAGCCAUAUAAAUCCUUUUGAUGAAUCAGUAAAUCGGAUGGGGGCACACAAAUCCUUCUUCCUAUUGAUAUACAUGAGAUCGUAUAAAAUCGUUGAGGUCAUUUGACCAAGCAUCCUUAUAUCAUUAUUGAUAAUUUUAAUGAGGCCACAUAUAUCACUUAUCAGAUGUCUAAAAGCUUCCUUAUUAAUAGUUUGAACGAGGCUGAAUAUAACAUUGACGCACCCUAGGCCACGUUUCGAUGGAAAGGGAGGAAGAAGACGCAUGAAACAAAGAAAAAACAGCAAAACAAAG